Pygocentrus nattereri (red-bellied piranha) is the source of this 493-nucleotide long non-coding RNA. RefSeq lists it as uncharacterized. The transcript has 5 exons. NCBI's taxonomy places the organism in Eukaryota, Metazoa, Chordata, Actinopteri, Characiformes, Serrasalmidae. The record is from RefSeq and is a predicted model, not a curated record.
AGUUGAUACUGACCUCAGCUCUAAAGACAGAGACCAUGGGGCCCUGAAGGAAUGGAGCCUGAUGGUAUCGUUGAGAGCAACUGGAACGAGAUUAAAGACCAUUUUGAUGAUAUGAAUGCUCCUUCGAGGCAACUAUGCUUAUGGUUUUGAAAAACCAUCAGCCAUUCAGCAGAGGGCAGUCAUUCCUUGCAUUAAAGCAGUUGGAUGUAGAGCAGAAAGAAGCCCAGGCUCUGGUGCCGGGUCCUACAAGAGAGCUAGCCCAAACAGAUUUAACCAAAAAGUUAUCCUGGCACUUGGCGACUACAUAAGAGCCUCCUGCCAUGCUUGCAUCUAAGGCACAAAUGUUCUAAAUGAGAUGCAGAAACUCCAAGCUGAGGCUUACCACAUAGUGGUUGGGACCCCAGGAUGUGUUUUUGACUUGUUAAUCAGGAGGUUUCUGUCUCUUAAGUGGAUGAGAGUGACGUGAAUGACAGUGGGAGACAAGAAGCGAGUC